Molecule: ribosomal RNA, 254 nt
Filed under: uncultured bacterium
Lineage: Bacteria
Description: partial 16S ribosomal RNA
Rfam family: Bacterial small subunit ribosomal RNA
Source: RNAcentral
UACGGGGGGAGCAAGCGUUGUUCGGAUUUACUGGGCGUAAAGGGCGCGUAGGCGGCCACCGCAAGUCGACUGUGAAAUCUCCGGGCUUAACUCGGAAAGGUCAGCCGAUACUGCGGGGCUAGAGUGCAGAAGGGGCAACUGGAAUUCUCGGUGUAGCGGUGAAAUGCGUAGAUAUCAGGAAGAACACCCGUGGCGAAGGCGGCUCUCUGGGACGGUACUGACGCUGAGACGCGAAAGCGUGGGGAGCGAUCCGG